UAGGGAAUCUUCGGCAAUGGGGGGAACCCUGACCGAGCAACGCCGCGUGAGUGAAGAAGGUUUUCGGAUCGUAAAGCUCUGUUGUUAAGGAAGAACGAGUGUGAGAAUGGAAAGUUCAUACUGUGACGGUACUUAACCAGAAAGGGACGGCUAACUACGUGCCAGCAGCCGCGGUAAUACGUAGGUCCCGAGCGUUGUCCGGAUUUAUUGGGCGUAAAGCGAGCGCAGGCGGUUAGAUAAGUCUGAAGUUAAAGGCAGUGGCUCAACCAUUGUAGGCUUUGGAAACUGUUUAACUUGAGUGCAGAAGGGGAGAGUGGAAUUGCAUGUGUAGCGGUGAAAUGCGUAGAUAUAUGGAGGAACACCGGUGGCGAAAGCGGCUCUCUGGUCUGUAACUGACGCUGAGGCUCGAAAGCGUGGGGAGCGAACAGG
This 429-nucleotide ribosomal RNA is filed under the name Bacteroidota bacterium. Its description in RNAcentral is "Bacteroidetes bacterium partial 16S ribosomal RNA". It matches the Rfam family "Bacterial small subunit ribosomal RNA", at positions 355 to 776 of the family's 1533-position model. The record is from RNAcentral. Lineage: Bacteria; Pseudomonadati; Bacteroidota.